RNAcentral lists this ribosomal RNA (441 nucleotides) under uncultured bacterium. RNAcentral's name for it is "partial 16S ribosomal RNA". It matches the Rfam family "Bacterial small subunit ribosomal RNA", at positions 338 to 795 of the family's 1533-position model. The record is from RNAcentral.
CCUACGGGGGGCUGCAGUGGGGGAUAUUGCACAAUGGGGGGAACCCUGAUGCAGCGACGCCGCGUGGGUGAAGGAGCGUUUCGGCGCGUAAAGCCCUAUCGGCAGGGAAGAAGAAGGACGGUACCUGACUAAGAAGCCCCGGCUAACUACGUGCCAGCAGCCGCGGUAAUACGUAGGGGGCAAGCGUUAUCCGGAUUUACUGGGUGUAAAGGGGGCGCAGACGGCAGCGCAAGCCAGGGGUGAAAGCCCGGGGCCCAACCCCGGGACUGCUCUUGGGACUGCGCGGCUGGAGUGCAGGAGGGGCAGGCGGAAUUCCUGGGGUAGCGGUGAAAUGCGUAGAUAUCAGGAGGAACACCGGUGGCGAAGGCGGCCUGCUGGACUGCGACUGACGCUGAGGCACGAAGGCCAGGGGAGCGAAAGGGAUUAGAUACCCCAGUAGUC